Molecule: ribosomal RNA, 344 nt
Filed under: uncultured fungus
Lineage: Eukaryota; Fungi
Description: SSU rRNA
Rfam family: Eukaryotic small subunit ribosomal RNA
Source: RNAcentral
GGCUCAUUCAAAUAUCUGCCCUAUCAACUUUCGAUGGUAGGCUAGUGGCCUACCAUGGUUUCAACGGGUAACGAGAAAUUAGGGUUUGAUUUCGGAGAGGGAGCCCGAGCAACGGCUACCACAUCCAAGGAAGGCAGCAGGCGCGCAAAUUACCCAAUGCCGACCGGCGAGGUAGUGACAAUAAAUACUGAUACAGGGCUCUUUUGGGCCUUGUAAUUGGAAUGAGUACAAUUUAAAUCCCUUAACGAGGAACAAUUGGAGGGCAAGUCUGGUGCCAGCAGCCGCGGUAAUUCCAGCUCCAAUAGCGUGUAUUAAAGUUGUUGCAGUUAAAAAGCUCGUAGUUG